This 641-nucleotide long non-coding RNA is filed under the name Felis catus (domestic cat). RNAcentral describes it as "lncRNA (ENSFCAG00000048370.1)". Lineage: Eukaryota; Metazoa; Chordata; Mammalia; Carnivora; Felidae. The record is from RNAcentral.
CUCCAACCUGUCAGAGCAAAUCACAGCAGAGUAUAAGGAGUUUUGAAGGGAGCAAAUCUACACGUCUAGUCCCUUGAAAGUGUCCACCUACAAGAGAGCGAAUCUUCCGUGUUCUGGGAAUUCCCUCCCUCAUUCUGUCAGUGUGGCUGUGCGUUCCUCUGCCAGCCGUCUUUUCUCUUCCUCAGCGCUCAGGCUCUUGACCGCUCCUACUGACAUCACUCAGUGUUCCCGCCACAUACACCUCGACUGCAACUCACAAACCACACACCACCCAUGAGUAUGGUUACUCUCAGGGUAGCCCUGAUGCAUAUUCUUGGUCCCUGCCGCGCUCCUGAAGGCUUCCGGUAGGAGAGGAAGAAGGCUUCCGGUGGGAGAGGGAGAAGGCUUCCGGUGGGGACAAAUCUCUACUUUGUCCUUUGUGGACUUCAUACGAGAUAGUAAAGGCUUCACCACUUUGGAAGAACCGAAAAAGUUCAGUGAUACUAGCCUGGGAAAUGAAUUUCAAAAGCAACUUGCCAUCAGGCUCCAGUGGAAAACAAAGACAUAGGCCUGACAUCACUGAACUUGAGUUAACUUGGUAGAUCAGAUUAUUGUGGAGAAGAGAGGCGACUGGACACACAGGGUGAUAUCUGCAAAGGGAC